GAUGAACGCUCGCUGUGUGCCUAAUACAUGCAUGUUGAACGGGAUGUAGCAAUACAUUCAGUAGCGAAUGGGUGAGUAACACGUACCUAACCUACCUUUAAGACUGGGAUAACUAUUGGAAACAAUAGCUAAUACCGGAUAUAGUUAUUUAUUGCAUGAUGAGUAAUAGAAAGGAGCUUCACAGCUUCACUUAAAAAUGGGGGUGCGGAACAUUAGUUAGUUGGUAGGGUAAUGGCCUACCAAGACGAUGAUGUUUAGCCGGGCCGAGAGGCUGUACGGCCACACUGGGACUGAGAUACGGCCCAGACUCCUACGGGAGGCAGCAGUAAGGAAUUUUCCACAAUGAGCGAAAGCUUGAUGGAGCGACACAGCGUGCAGGAUGAAGUUCUUCGGAAUGUAAACUGCUGUUAUAAGGGAAGAAAAAAUAGAAUAGGAAAUGAUUUUAUCUUGACGGUACCUUAUUAGAAAGCGACGGCAAACUAUGUGCCAGCAGCUGCGGUAAUACAUAGGUCGCAAGCGUUAUCCGGAAUUAUUGGGCGUAAAGCGUCCGUAGGUUUUUUGCUAAGUCUGGAGUUAAAUGCUGAAGCUCAACUUCAGUCCGCUUUGGAUACUGGCAAAAUAGAAUUAUAAAGAGGUUAGCGGAAUUCCUAGUGAAGCGGUGGAAUGCGUAGAUAUUAGGAAGAACACCAAUAGGCGAAGGCAGCUAACUGGUUAUAUAUUGACACUAAGGGACGAAAGCGUGGGGAGCAAACAGG
This 755-nucleotide ribosomal RNA is filed under the name uncultured Mycoplasma sp. RNAcentral describes it as "bacterial SSU rRNA". It matches the Rfam family "Bacterial small subunit ribosomal RNA", at positions 28 to 776 of the family's 1533-position model. The record is from RNAcentral. Lineage: Bacteria; Bacillati; Mycoplasmatota; Mollicutes; Mycoplasmatales; Mycoplasmataceae.